RNAcentral lists this ribosomal RNA (422 nucleotides) under uncultured bacterium. RNAcentral describes it as "bacterial SSU rRNA". It matches the Rfam family "Bacterial small subunit ribosomal RNA", at positions 354 to 774 of the family's 1533-position model. The record is from RNAcentral.
AUCAGGAAUAUUGCGCAAUGGGGGAAACCCUGACGCAGCGACGCCGCGUGCGGGAUGAAGGCCUUCGGGUCGUAAACCGCUGUUGUGGGAGACGAAUGACUGUCGAUGAGGCAGUGGAGACGGUAUCUCACGAGGAAGCCCCGGCUAACUACGUGCCAGCAGCCGCGGUAAUACGUAGGGGGCGAGCGUUGUCCGAAGUUACUGGGCGUAAAGCGCGCGUAGGCGGCUCUUUAAGUGACUGGUGAAAUCCCCGGGCUCAACCCGGGGUAGUCUGGUCAUACUGGGGAGCUAGAGUGUGGGAGGGGAGAGCGGAACUCCUGGUGUAGCGGUGAUAUGCGUAGAGAUCAGGAAGAACACCCGUGGCGAAGGCGGCUCUCUGGACCAUAACUGACGCUGAGGUGCGAAAGCCAGGGGAGCGAACG